UUCAUUUUUUGAGCCCGUCUC
RNAcentral lists this non-coding RNA (21 nucleotides) under Caenorhabditis elegans. Lineage: Eukaryota; Metazoa; Nematoda; Chromadorea; Rhabditida; Rhabditidae. The record is from RNAcentral.